RNAcentral lists this ribosomal RNA (468 nucleotides) under uncultured bacterium. RNAcentral's name for it is "partial 16S ribosomal RNA". It matches the Rfam family "Bacterial small subunit ribosomal RNA", at positions 28 to 507 of the family's 1533-position model. The record is from RNAcentral.
GACGAACGCUGGUGGCGUGCUUAACACAUGCAAGUCGAACGGAAAGGCCCUGCUUUUGUGGGGUGCUCGAGUGGCGAACGGGUGAGUAACACGUGAGUAACCUGCCCUUGACUUUGGGAUAACUUCAGGAAACUGGGGCUAAUACCGGAUAGGAGCUCCUGCUGCAUGGUGGGGGUUGGAAAAUUUCGGCGGUUGGGGAUGGACUCGCGGCUUAUCAGCUUGUUGGUGGGGUAGUGGCUUACCAAGGCUUUGACGGGUAGCCGGCCUGAGAGGGUGACCGGCCACAUUGGGACUGAGAUACGGCCCAGACUCCUACGGGAGGCAGCAGUGGGGAAUAUUGCACAAUGGGCGGAAGCCUGAUGCAGCAACGCCGCGUGCGGGAUGACGGCCUUCGGGUUGUAAACCGCUUUCGCCUGUGACGAAGCGUGAGUGACGGUAAUGGGUAAAGAAGCACCGGCUAACUACGUG